This 352-nucleotide ribosomal RNA is filed under the name Paramugil parmatus (broad-mouthed mullet). RNAcentral's name for it is "partial large subunit ribosomal RNA". It matches the Rfam family "Bacterial large subunit ribosomal RNA", at positions 2096 to 2612 of the family's 2925-position model. Lineage: Eukaryota; Metazoa; Chordata; Actinopteri; Mugiliformes; Mugilidae. The record is from RNAcentral.
GAACUCAGAUCAUGUAAUCUACCUCCAUAAAAUAAGUAAUAACUAUUGAAUCCUGUUCCACCUGUCUUCGGUUGGGGCGACCACGGGGAAUAAAAAAUCCCCCAUGUGGACCAGGAGCACAUACUCCUACAACCAUGAGCCACAGCUCUAAUGCACAAAACAUUUGACCAUUAGAUCCGGCAAAGCCGAUUAACGGACCAAGUUACCCUAGGGAUAACAGCGCAAUCCCCUUUAAGAGUUCAUAUCGACAAGGGGGUUUACGACCUCGAUGUUGGAUCAAGACAUCCUAAUGGUGCAGCCGCUAUUAAGGGUUCGUUUGUUCAACGAUUAAAGUCUUACAUGAUCUGAGUUC